This 464-nucleotide ribosomal RNA is filed under the name uncultured bacterium. RNAcentral describes it as "bacterial SSU rRNA". It matches the Rfam family "Bacterial small subunit ribosomal RNA", at positions 28 to 509 of the family's 1533-position model. The record is from RNAcentral.
GACGAACGCUGGCGGCGUGCUUAACACAUGCAAGUCGAGCGGUAAGGCCCUUCGGGGUACACGAGCGGCGAACGGGUGAGUAACACGUGGGUAACCUGCCCUGUACUCUGGGAUAAGCCCGGGAAACUGGGUCUAAUACCGGAUAUGACCUUCUGUCGCAUGAUGGAGGGUGGAAAGUUCCGGCGGUAUGGGAUGGACCCGCGGCCUAUCAGCUUGUUGGUGGGGUAAUGGCCUACCAAGGCGACGACGGGGUAGCCGGCCUGAGAGGGUGAUCGGCCCACACUGGGACUGAGACACGGCCCAGACUCCUACGGGAGGCAGCAGUGGGGAAUAUUNCACAAUGGGCGAAAGCCUGAUGCAGCGACGCCGCGUGAGGGAUGACGGCCUCGGUUGUAAAGCCUCUUCAGCAGGGACGAAGCGCAAGUGACGGUACCUGCAGAAGAAGCACCGGCUAACUACGUGCC